RNAcentral lists this long non-coding RNA (606 nucleotides) under Hordeum vulgare. Its description in RNAcentral is "long non-coding RNA (HVUL_LNC013575)". The record is from RNAcentral. Lineage: Eukaryota; Viridiplantae; Streptophyta; Magnoliopsida; Poales; Poaceae.
CAGCUCCGCCCUCCUUCCCGAAUUGCGUGGCCAACAUGCAAGAUGCAUAUAGUUGACGUGUCACGUACCUUUUUCCUCUUGCAGCAGAUAUUUUUAGAUCUAGUGUGACUGUGGAAGUGACUAGUGUGCUGUAAUAAUUGUGCACAACUCGCAAUUAUUGUGUAUAUAGUGCAAGGCUUUGUUUUGCCUCUCCACGUAAGGCUUUUGUGGAGACAUGGUUGUAAUGGGUUGUAUAGUGUUCCUCAUUACGAACACAUAUUCAUGGGUUUCUUGAUGCCUUUGUGAAGACUGUGGCAGGCACCAACAUGGUCCGUAGAGACAGAGCUAUGACCAAGUCUGCGUGCCUGUGUGGUCCGAAAGUUGAUGGCAGUUUUUUUAAGUACUCCCACGGGUUUAGCUUAUAAAAAUGUCAUAGAUUGUGGGACGGAGUGAAUACUGAGUUUAUAAUGGUCUACUUAAGAAUUCAUAGUUUUUUAUCCCCUCAUCCUAUCAUGUUUUGUUACAUGGCUAGCUCCAUCAAUGAUGGGCGCGUCUUUUUCUUCUUCUUGUUUUCGUUGCCCCACUGGUUUCAGUUUAAGAUGAAAAUGAGCCGACCUGGACCUGGCC